This 363-nucleotide ribosomal RNA is filed under the name Olea europaea subsp. europaea. RNAcentral's name for it is "Bacterial small subunit ribosomal RNA". It matches the Rfam family "Bacterial small subunit ribosomal RNA", at positions 999 to 1533 of the family's 1533-position model. The record is from Rfam by way of RNAcentral. Lineage: Eukaryota; Viridiplantae; Streptophyta; Magnoliopsida; Lamiales; Oleaceae.
UGUGUAAACACUCCAUGGGCAUCACUCCGCCGCAGAAGUGAGUAAGUACAAGUGUGCUCGUGAUUCGUGUUACAGUAGCCGGGAUAAAGGGUCACGAUCCCACGAGUUUGAACUAAUUCCAAAAUCCCAUCCUCAAUUCAAAUUGCAGGCUGCAACUCGCCUGCAUGAAGUCGAAAUUGUUAGUAAUCACCGAUCAACCAUACGGUGGUGAAUUCGUUCCUCAACUUUAUACACUCCAUCCGUCACACUACAGGAGCUAGCCCUGUCCAAAGUCUUUACUUUAAUCGCAAGGAGGGGGAUGUCGAAAGCAAGGCUACUAACUGAAGUGAAGUCUACUAGUGUCAUGCAUCGAGAGUGCUCUUC